Non-coding RNA from Acanthosepion pharaonis, 112 nucleotides. NCBI's taxonomy places the organism in Eukaryota, Metazoa, Mollusca, Cephalopoda, Sepiida, Sepiidae. The record is from the annotation of a GenBank genome assembly.
AGCCACUUCAGAUUGAAAUACCAGUUCUCAAAAAUGAUCACUGAAGUUAAGCAAUGUUGAGCUGGCUCAGUACCUAAAUAGGUGACCACUUGAGAAUACCAGGUGCUGUAAG